Molecule: ribosomal RNA, 506 nt
Filed under: uncultured bacterium
Lineage: Bacteria
Description: partial 16S ribosomal RNA
Rfam family: Bacterial small subunit ribosomal RNA
Source: RNAcentral
AUUGAACGCUGGCGGCAGGCCUAACACAUGCAAGUCGAGCGGCAGCGGAAAGUAGCUUGCUACUUUGCCGGCGAGCGGCGGACGGGUGAGUAAUGUCUGGGAAACUGCCUGAUGGAGGGGGAUAACUACUGGAAACGGUAGCUAAUACCGCAUAACGUCGCAAGACCAAAGAGGGGGACCUUCGGGCCUCUUGCCAUCAGAUGUGCCCAGAUGGGAUUAGCUAGUAGGUGGGGUAACGGCUCACCUAGGCGACGAUCCCUAGCUGGUCUGAGGGGAUGACCAGCCACACUGGAACUGAGACACGGUCCAGACUCCUACGGGAGGCAGCAGUGGGGAAUAUUGCACAAUGGGCGCAAGCCUGAUGCAGCCAUGCCGCGUGUAUGAAGAAGGCCUUCGGGUUGUAAAGUACUUUCAGCGGGGAGGAAGGUGUUGAGGUUGAUAACCUCAGCAAUUGACGUUACCCGCAGAAGAAGCACCGGCUAACUCCGUGCCAGCAGCCGCCGUAA